UUGACCGGGCUUGGUCCGGACCGGAUUAACCGGGCUUAACCAAAAAAAUAAAUUCACCCGAGACCCAGUACCCUAAAGCUCUUGGACUUAUCGGGCCGGAUCAAACCGAGUUGAUUUCAUUAAAUGGGCUGGUUCGAUCAACCCGACCCAUUUGACAGGCUUAGUUGACACACGUUUUUCUCGCUAAUUACCUUUUGAUCAAAUCUAUAUUUAGGCCCAUUUAUUAUCCAGGGAUAAAAUAGUAAUUCACUUUCUCCACAUAUAUGCUAUAAAUAACCCCCACAGCAGCUAAACUCUCCCAUCAGUUAAUUAAAAAAGCAAAGGCCAAAAAAAAAAAAAAGACGUCUGACAGUUAAUCAAUGGCAGCGAUUCAGUCUUGCAUUUUCAGUUAUCAGCUAUAGAUUCCUAUAGUAAUUUUGUAUGUGCGAAUAUUUUUAUGGUUGUAUGUGCAUACAUACUAGAUCUGACUAACUGUUCAUCUUCGUUUUUUACGGCUCAUCUUUUUUUCAGCAGAGUCUUUCAGUUGUACGUUUCGGUUCAGUUCCGGUUAUCUCCAACGUAGAUAUAAAUCGUCACUCCCGAAGUCGAUGGACUUAGCUGCUUGUGGUUAUGCGGAAAAAAUUGGUAAUUAUAGAGAGAUGGCAGAUUCGGAGAAAUUGAGGGGCUUGUUCAUCAACUACCGUGGGAGCGAGCUAGACACCACUAGAGGAAGGUUGCUUCGUGAGAUUUGAAGAUUGAGGAGCCCACUGCCCAUUUUCGGUUAAUAAUAAUAAUACUUAAUAAUUAGGUAUGUUUUUUCAUCAUACAUAUUUUGUUUUAUUUUUAUUGAAUCUAAUUAAGGUAGUAAAUAUUUUGUAUUUAUGAAUGAAAAAUUAUGCAUUUGAUUGACUUGAGUUUAUUCUUUUUUAUUUUUAUUCUGUCAUUUUUUUUUCUUAAGAGGUAGUGAAAUAAAUCAAUCACAAAAAAUAUAAUAGAUGAGUUGGUUAAUACUAGGAAUCACUCGUACAUUUCCUGUGGUUUUGGGUUCGAUGUGCUUUUCCAACUAUGUAUACAUGUAUUGGUUAGUUAUCUACAUUUAAUAUAAGAAUCAAUUCCUCAGCA
Long non-coding RNA from Capsicum annuum, 1101 nucleotides. RefSeq lists it as uncharacterized. The record is from RefSeq and is a predicted model, not a curated record. Lineage: Eukaryota; Viridiplantae; Streptophyta; Magnoliopsida; Solanales; Solanaceae. The transcript is spliced from 2 exons.